RNAcentral lists this ribosomal RNA (451 nucleotides) under uncultured bacterium. RNAcentral's name for it is "partial 16S ribosomal RNA". It matches the Rfam family "Bacterial small subunit ribosomal RNA", at positions 29 to 523 of the family's 1533-position model. The record is from RNAcentral.
AGCGAACGCUGGCGGCAGGCUUAACACAUGCAAGUCGAGCGGGCAUCUUCGGGUGUCAGCGGCGGACGGGUGAGUAACGCGUGGGAACGUGCCUUCUGGUUCGGAAUAACUCAGGGAAACUUGAGCUAAUACCGGAUACGCCCUUUUGGGGAAAGGUUUACUGCCGGAAGAUCGGCCCGCGUCUGAUUAGCUAGUUGGUGGGGUAACGGCCUACCAAGGCGACGAUCAGUAGCUGGUCUGAGAGGAUGAUCAGCCACACUGGGACUGAGACACGGCCCAGACUCCUACGGGAGGCAGCAGUGGGGAAUAUUGGACAAUGGGGGCAACCCUGAUCCAGCCAUGCCGCGUGAGUGAUGAAGGCCUUAGGGUUGUAAAGCUCUUUUAUCCGGGACGAUAAUGACGGUACCGGAGGAAUAAGCCCCGGCUAACUUCGUGCCAGCCGCCGCGGUAA